GGUCUUUUAGCUCAGUCGGUUAGAGCGUGGUGCUAAUAUGAUUAUGCACGCCAAGGUCACAGGUUCGACCCCUGUAAGGACCA
RNAcentral lists this transfer RNA (83 nucleotides) under Hydnum rufescens UP504. It matches the Rfam family "tRNA". Rfam says of the family: Transfer RNA (tRNA) molecules are approximately 80 nucleotides in length. Their secondary structure includes four short double-helical elements and three loops (D, anti-codon, and T loops). The record is from Rfam by way of RNAcentral. Lineage: Eukaryota; Fungi; Basidiomycota; Agaricomycetes; Cantharellales; Hydnaceae.